Molecule: ribosomal RNA, 161 nt
Filed under: Loeseneriella africana
Lineage: Eukaryota; Viridiplantae; Streptophyta; Magnoliopsida; Celastrales; Celastraceae
Description: 5.8S ribosomal RNA
Rfam family: 5.8S ribosomal RNA
About the family: 5.8S ribosomal RNA (5.8S rRNA) is a component of the large subunit of the eukaryotic ribosome. It is transcribed by RNA polymerase I as part of the 45S precursor that also contains 18S and 28S rRNA.
Source: RNAcentral
ACGACUCUCGGCAACGGAUAUCUCGGCUCUCGCAUCGAUGAAGAACGUAGCGAAAUGCGAUACUUGGUGUGAAUUGCAGAAUCCCGUGAACCAUCSAGUUUUUGAACGCAAGUUGCKCCCAAAGCCKUCAGGCUGAGGGCACGCCUGCCUGGGUGUCACGA